Molecule: ribosomal RNA, 495 nt
Filed under: uncultured bacterium
Lineage: Bacteria
Description: partial 16S ribosomal RNA
Rfam family: Bacterial small subunit ribosomal RNA
Source: RNAcentral
GACGAACGCUGGCGGCGUGCCUAAUACAUGCAAGUCGAACGCUGAAGGAGGAGCUUGCUUCUCUGGAUGAGUUGCGAACGGGUGAGUAACGCGUAGGUAACCCGCCUGGUAGCGGGGGAUAACUAUUGGAAACGAUAGCUAAUACCGCAUAAGAGUAGAUGUUGCAUGACAUUUGCUUAAAAGGUGCAAUUGCAUCACUACCAGAUGGACCUGCGUUGUAUUAGCUAGUUGGUGGGGUAACGGCUCACCAAGGCGACGAUACAUAGCCGACCUGAGAGGGUGAUCGGCCACACUGGGACUGAGACACGGCCCAGACUCCUACGGGAGGCAGCAGUAGGGAAGCUUCGGCAAUGGACGGAAGUCUGACCGAGCAACGCCGCGUGAGUGAAGAAGGUUUUCGGAUCGUAAAGCUCUGUUGUAAGAGAAGAACGAGUGUGAGAGUGGAAAGUUCACACUGUGACGGUAUCUUACCAGAAAGGGACGGCUAACUACGUG